ACACAAUCUUAAAAUCUUCCCAGCUUAGAAGAUUCUUUCCAAGUAUUCUUUUGUGUUUUUUUUUAACCUAUAAAAGAUAAUGGAAUAUAUUUUAUAGACUGGAUUUUAUCUUAUCCCUUUCUCUCUCCCGGCUGCACUCAGUUUAAUAGUUGUCAGGGCUUUUUUUCCCCCGUGUUUUUCCUAAGUGUUGGAUUUAAUUAUAUGGGACCAAAAUAUAUACCUCAGUAAAUUAGCUUGCUAAAUAUUCUGUCAUUUUGUGAUUCUGCCUUUGAGAAGCAGCUUAAUUACAGAAAUCUAUCU
Molecule: non-coding RNA, 300 nt
Organism: Felis catus (domestic cat)
Lineage: Eukaryota; Metazoa; Chordata; Mammalia; Carnivora; Felidae
Source: Rfam